GGAAAAAGUCGUAACAAGGUUUCCGUAGGUGAACCUGCGGAAGGAUCAUUACAGAGUUCAUGCCCUCACGGGUAGAUCUCCCACCCUUGAAUAUUUAUACCUUAGUUGCUUUGGCAGGCCGUGGAAACACCAUGGGCUCCGGCUUAUGCGUGCCUGCCAGAGGAAACAAACUCUGUUUUUAGUGAUGUCUGAGUACUAUAUAAUAGUUAAAACUUUCAACAACGGAUCUCUUGGUUCUG
This 239-nucleotide unclassified non-coding RNA is filed under the name plant metagenome. RNAcentral describes it as "partial contains small subunit ribosomal RNA, internal transcribed spacer 1, and 5.8S ribosomal RNA". The stretch from base 1 to 51 matches the Rfam family "Eukaryotic small subunit ribosomal RNA", at positions 1781 to 1831 of the family's 1831-position model. The record is from RNAcentral.